ACCUCGGAUCAGGUAGGGAUACCCGCUGAACUUAAGCAUAUCAAUAAGCGGAGGAAAAGAAACCAACAGGGAUUGCCUUAGU
Molecule: ribosomal RNA, 82 nt
Filed under: Cetrelia japonica
Lineage: Eukaryota; Fungi; Ascomycota; Lecanoromycetes; Lecanorales; Parmeliaceae
Description: partial 26S ribosomal RNA
Rfam family: Eukaryotic large subunit ribosomal RNA
Source: RNAcentral